Molecule: ribosomal RNA, 425 nt
Filed under: Verrucomicrobiota bacterium
Lineage: Bacteria; Pseudomonadati; Verrucomicrobiota
Description: Verrucomicrobia bacterium partial 16S ribosomal RNA
Rfam family: Bacterial small subunit ribosomal RNA
Source: RNAcentral
UGAGGAAUAUUGGUCAAUGGGCGAGAGCCUGAACCAGCCACGUCGCGUGAAGGAAGACUGACCUUACGGUUUGUAAACUUCUUUUGUAGAGGGGUAAUGGCAGAUACGUGUAUUUGCGUGAAAGUACUCUACGAAUAAGCAUCGGCUAACUCCGUGCCAGCAGCCGCGGUAAUACGGGGGAUGCGAGCGUUAUCCGGAAUUAUUGGGUUUAAAGGGUGCGCAGGUGGCUAAUCAGGUCAGUGGUGAAAAGCUAUGGCUCAACCAUGGUCUAGCCAUUGAAACCGUAUAGCUAGAGAGGAGACGAGGUAGGCGGGAUGUGUGGUGUAGCGGUGAAAUGCUUAGAUAUCAUGACGAACUCCGAUUGCGAAGGCAGCUUACGGGAGCGCAACUGACGCUAAAGCUCGAAGGUGCGGGUAUCGAACAGG